This 254-nucleotide ribosomal RNA is filed under the name uncultured bacterium. RNAcentral's name for it is "partial 16S ribosomal RNA". It matches the Rfam family "Bacterial small subunit ribosomal RNA", at positions 524 to 776 of the family's 1533-position model. The record is from RNAcentral.
UACGGGGGGGAGCAAGCGUUGUUCGGAUUUACUGGGCGUAAAGGGCGCGUAGGCGGGAUGGCAAGUCGGUCGUGAAAUCCCUCGGCUCAACCGAGGAACGUCGAUCGAUACUGCUGUUCUUGAGGAUUGCAGAGGAGACUGGAAUUCCCGGUGUAGCGGUGAAAUGUGUAGAGAUCGGGAGGAACACCGGUGGCGAAGGCGGGUCUCUGGGCAAUUCCUGACGCUGAGGCGCGAAAGCGUGGGGAGCAAACGGG